AGUUUUAUAUUCGAUUUAAGAUAUUAAAUUGCAAAUUUGAUGAAGUAAAUAUUUACUAAAACUU
RNAcentral lists this transfer RNA (64 nucleotides) under Oecetis caucula. RNAcentral describes it as "tRNA-Cys". The record is from RNAcentral. Lineage: Eukaryota; Metazoa; Arthropoda; Insecta; Trichoptera; Leptoceridae.